RNAcentral lists this ribosomal RNA (425 nucleotides) under uncultured bacterium. Its description in RNAcentral is "bacterial SSU rRNA". It matches the Rfam family "Bacterial small subunit ribosomal RNA", at positions 80 to 507 of the family's 1533-position model. The record is from RNAcentral.
AAUAUCGAAAGUAGGGUGGCGCACGGGUGCGUAACGCGUAGGUAAUCUGCCCUGAGGUCUGACAUAACCCGUCGAAAGGCGGGCUAACAUCAGAUGAUAUAUAGUCACGACAUCGUGGAAAUAUCAAAUCUUCGGAGCCUUGGGAUGAGCCUGCGUCUGAUUAGGUAGUUGGCGGAGUAAUAGCCCACCAAGCCUACGAUCAGUAGCUGGUCUGAGAGGAUGAUCAGCCACACUGGAACUGAGACACGGUCCAGACUCCUUACGGGAGGCAGCAGUAAGGAAUAUUGCUCAAUGGGGGAACCCUGAAGCAGCAACGCCGCGUGAAGGAUGAAAUACUUUUGUAUGUAAACUUCUGUAAGAUGGGAAAAAUAUUCUCCUCGGGAGAAAUGAUUGUACCAUCAGAGUAAGCCCCGGCUAACUACGUG